AGCAAGCGCACGAAGGCGUACACAGCUGCCGAGGACAAGCUUCUUUGCGAGUGUUGGCGAGACAUUGGACAAGACCCAAAGACGGGCGCCGAGCAAAAGCAUUCGACCUUUUGGACUCGUGUGCACCGCAAGUUUCAUGAGCUCAAGAAGUUUCCACCUUACCAAUUUGUGAGCACGCGCGGGUGGGUCUCCAUUUCCAAGCGGUGGAGGGUGAUCCAACAAGAGUGCAAUAAGUUUUGCGCCACCCUUGAGAGCGUCAAGGCCCGCCCCGUGAGCGGCAUCGGCGUGCAAGACAUGGUAUGA
This 303-nucleotide ribosomal RNA is filed under the name Triticum aestivum (bread wheat). Its description in RNAcentral is "partial small subunit ribosomal RNA". Lineage: Eukaryota; Viridiplantae; Streptophyta; Magnoliopsida; Poales; Poaceae. The record is from RNAcentral.